Molecule: ribosomal RNA, 392 nt
Filed under: uncultured Gammaproteobacteria bacterium
Lineage: Bacteria; Pseudomonadati; Pseudomonadota; Gammaproteobacteria
Description: bacterial SSU rRNA
Rfam family: Bacterial small subunit ribosomal RNA
Source: RNAcentral
AAUGGGCGCAAGCCUGAUCCAGCCAUGCCGCGUGAGUGACGAAGGCCUUAGGGUCGUAAAGCUCUUUCGCCAGGGAUGAUAAUGACAGUACCUGGUAAAGAAACCCCAGCUAACUCCGUGCCAGCAGCCGCGGUAAUACGGAGGGGGUUAGCGUUGUUCGGAAUUACUGGGCGUAAAGCGCACGUAGGCGGAUUGGAAAGUUGGGGGUGAAAUCCCAGGGCUCAACCCUGGAACUGCCUCCAAAACUAACAGUCUAGAGUUCGAGAGAGGUGAGUGGAAUUCCGAGUGUAGAGGUGAAAUUCGUAGAUAUUCGGAGGAACACCAGUGGCGAAGGCGGCUCACUGGCUCGAUACUGACGCUGAGGUGCGAAAGUGUGGGGAGCAAACAGGAUU